UACGAAGGGGGCUAGCGUUGUUCGGAAUUACUGGGCGUAAAGCGCACGUAGGCGGAUCGAUCAGUCAGGGGUGAAAUCCCAGGGCUCAACCCUGGAACUGCCUUUGAUACUGUCGAUCUGGAGUAUGGAAGAGGUGAGUGGAAUUCCGAGUGUAGAGGUGAAAUUCGUAGAUAUUCGGAGGAACACCAGUGGCGAAGGCGGCUCACUGGUCCAUUACUGACGCUGAGGAACGAAAGCGUGGGGAGCGAACAGG
Molecule: ribosomal RNA, 253 nt
Filed under: uncultured bacterium
Lineage: Bacteria
Description: partial 16S ribosomal RNA
Rfam family: Bacterial small subunit ribosomal RNA
Source: RNAcentral